AACGAACGCUGGCGGCAUGCCUAACACAUGCAAGUCGAACGAGACCUUCGGGUCUUGUGGCGCACGGGUGCGUAACGCGUGGGAACCUGCCCUUAGGUUCGGAAUAACUCCCCGAAAGGGGUGCUAAUACCGGAUAAUGUCUUCGGACCAAAGAUUUAUCGCCUUUGGAUGGGCCCGCGUUGGAUUAGCUAGUUGGUAGGGUAAAAGCCUACCAAGGCGACGAUCCAUAGCUGGUCUGAGAGGAUGAUCAGCCACACUGGGACUGAGACACGGCCCAGACUCCUACGGGAGGCAGCAGUGGGGAAUAUUGGACAAGGGGCGAAAGUCUGAUCCAGCAAUGCCGCGUGAGUGAUGAAGGCGUUAGGGUUGUAAAGCUGUUUUACCCGGGAUGAUAAUGACAGUACCGGGAGAAUAAGCUCCGGCUAACUCCGUG
RNAcentral lists this ribosomal RNA (433 nucleotides) under uncultured bacterium. RNAcentral describes it as "partial 16S ribosomal RNA". It matches the Rfam family "Bacterial small subunit ribosomal RNA", at positions 29 to 507 of the family's 1533-position model. The record is from RNAcentral.